RNAcentral lists this ribosomal RNA (245 nucleotides) under uncultured Chloroflexota bacterium. RNAcentral's name for it is "uncultured Chloroflexi bacterium partial 16S ribosomal RNA". It matches the Rfam family "Bacterial small subunit ribosomal RNA", at positions 524 to 768 of the family's 1533-position model. Lineage: Bacteria; Bacillati; Chloroflexota. The record is from RNAcentral.
UACGUAGGAGGCAAGCGUUAUCCGGAUUUACUGGGCGUAAAGAGCGCGCGGGCGGCUUUUCAAGUCGGAUGUAAAAUCUCCCGGCUUAACUGGGAGGGAUCAUCCGAUACUGUUGAGCUAGAGUGCAGCAGAGGAAAGCGGAAUUCCCGGUGUAGUGGUGAAAUGCGUAGAUAUCGGGAGGAACACCAGUGGCGAAGGCGGCUUUCUGGGCUGUAACUGACGCUGAGGCGCGAAGGCGUGGGGAG